AUACCUUUCUCGGCCUUUUGGCUAAGAUCAAGUGUAGUAUCUGUUCUUAUCAGUAUAAUAUUUGAUAUGUGAGCCAUCGGCUCACUCGAUAUUAAUCUUAUUUUUUAUGGGAAGGAUCCGUAUCAAUAGGUUGCUAUUGGGAUCCUUAGAGUCGCCUUGGUGUUGCACUGCUGCCUUGGCCUGGCUCAUCCCUC
Molecule: small nuclear RNA, 194 nt
Organism: Erigeron canadensis
Lineage: Eukaryota; Viridiplantae; Streptophyta; Magnoliopsida; Asterales; Asteraceae
Product: U2 spliceosomal RNA
Exons: 1
Source: RefSeq, a predicted model, not a curated record